This 165-nucleotide ribosomal RNA is filed under the name Enterobacter ludwigii. RNAcentral's name for it is "partial 16S ribosomal RNA". It matches the Rfam family "Bacterial small subunit ribosomal RNA", at positions 338 to 501 of the family's 1533-position model. Lineage: Bacteria; Pseudomonadati; Pseudomonadota; Gammaproteobacteria; Enterobacterales; Enterobacteriaceae. The record is from RNAcentral.
UCUACGGGAGGCAGCAGUGGGGAAUAUUGCACAAUGGGCGCAAGCCUGAUGCAGCCAUGCCGCGUGUAUGAAGAAGGCCUUCGGGUUGUAAAGUACUUCAGCGGGGAGGAAGGUGUGAGGUAAUACCCUCAGCAAUGACGUACCCGCAGAGAUGACCUAGCUCCC